AAUCAAUGUUAAUGGAAAUUCAUAGGAAAGACCCAUGAUUAAGUAGAUUGAAAAGCUUGGAAUUGACUUUUGAGUUGAUCCGCUAGUCCCCAUUGUUGUUGCCCAUGUUGUUGGCAAGUUUUGAUUUUGUAGUAAUUUCCAGUUUGUACAUGUUUAUAUGAUUUAAAGAAAUGUGGAAGGUUCGAUUAGGACACUGAAAAGGUUGGAAAAUGACUUUUGAGUUGAUUCGCUUGUGUCUUUCGCUUGUGUCUGUUGCUGUUGCCUGUGAUGUUUUGCAAUUCAUUGUUGGAUUUUGUUUUAUUUUCCUGUGCCCACAUUGAAUGAUUUGCUUAUGUUUUGUUACAGGUGAUGUGAACAAUGUAGUUGGAACAUCUACGGAAAGCCUAGCAUGAUUAAACAGAAAUUCAUGGGAAAGAUUUUAUUGGCUUUAACUGGUUUUCCCAGGAUUAACAUUAGAUUGAAAAGCUUGGAACUGACAUUUGAAUUGAUCCACUAGUACCUGUUGCUAUUGCCCAUGAUGUUU
RNAcentral lists this long non-coding RNA (523 nucleotides) under Musa acuminata (dwarf banana). RNAcentral's name for it is "long non-coding RNA (MACU_LNC009373)". The record is from RNAcentral. Lineage: Eukaryota; Viridiplantae; Streptophyta; Magnoliopsida; Zingiberales; Musaceae.